Ailuropoda melanoleuca (giant panda) is the source of this 6170-nucleotide long non-coding RNA. RefSeq lists it as uncharacterized. The transcript has 3 exons. Lineage: Eukaryota; Metazoa; Chordata; Mammalia; Carnivora; Ursidae. The record is from RefSeq and is a predicted model, not a curated record.
GCGGGUGGAGGGGCGCGCUCGGCCCCCAGCCUCCUUCCGGCGCCCGCGACGCCCGAUUCGUCCCGGGUUUGCGGAGGCGCGGGCUGCGGCGCCCUGGGAAUGGGCCGUGGGCGGCCUGGGGGCGGCGAUCCGGCUCGGCGAGGAAGGUAGUGCGCGCCCCGCCGCCGCGGUCCUCGGACAGCCUGAGCUGGGGCGGCCUCAGCCUGGCUGGGAGGGACCCGUGAAGGGGCAGGAAAGUUUGCUGCCGCCAGAGUGGGGAAUCCAGCUCAGCCCUUCCUGGUGCAGGUCUCCGGGCUGGCAGUUUGAGAGCCAGCGGUCAGAGGGCAAGGCCAAUUCCCGCGUGGACGGUUGACGUCGAAACUCCUCCUGCCUUUUCUGUUUCAUAGUGGGUGAAAGAAGGAGGGACCUGCCUUUCUGAUUGCCCACCACUAAAUCCUAAGCUCCUUGAACACAGCCGCCGCAUCUUAUCCAUCAUUGUGUCCCCGUUCUUAACACAAAUGUUUGGAGAAUAAAUUAACGUGUGGAGUGAAGGUGGACCAUGUGACCACUGAGUAGAACUGUUCUCUUUCUUUAUGACAGAAAACGAGGCGUGCUGGAGAAUGAACCUGUGUGUACAGCUCGGUAUUAAUUACCCCCUCCCUUUUCCCCUUUGCUCCUUUGUGUCUCGGUAUGCCCGCUCGCUGGCAAUGGGCUGGGGAUACGAACAGCCAAGACUCAGCCCUCCGAUGGAGCGCUGUGUGCAAGACAACAGCUAACGGGGACUCCGGGCGUUCAGUGCAAUAGUCGGGUGCCUCAAUCGAGCCUCCAGAGAGAGCAGGCGGUCUAAGUCGAGUUUGAAGGGUGAAGAGGCGCUUAUUACUAGAAGGGCCCUCUACCCACACAGGUCCCUCUGCAUGGAUUUCCCCGUGACCCUGUUUACCUCCUGCUCGUUCUUGAGGCCUCGGGUGAAAUGUCACUUCCUUGGUGACCCACAUAAGGUCAUCCUGUUAAGCGAUCCUGUGGCCCGGCACACGCCUCAUGAUGAGCACAGCUGGGCACAGUUUGCCAUCUCUGUUCCACCGGAAGCUUCUUGAGACGGAAACUGGCAUUUCCGUGCGUGCGUAGAGUCUCGAUGUCCAGCACAGUGCCUGCCCCACCGUGUUCCCUAAAUAUGUGCUGAACCGAUGAGUAACCAGACUCUCAGGGAGAAGCCCAUUCCAGCAUUUUCUGUUGUGAAUGUGAGGCCAGACUGUGAGUACCACGUGGGAACAGAAUGACCUUUUAGAAUGUAUUAUUUUGUGGAACUGGGCAGCUCAGCGAUUUCAGAACCGUCUUCUGCAGAAUCAGUGUGAGGCUGGCGCUUCUCAGAAAGAGUUACCGUCGUGAGACAAGUUUGGGGAAGACAGGUAACCCAGGUUGCUUGUUUUCCAGGAGCCUCUAGUAACAUUUUGCAGCUGGGGAAUAUGGAUGAAGCUAAAUGAAAACUUGGCUGCACCACCCCCACCCCGGGCCCUGGGAGGUGAAGGGGCUGCUGUGGGGGGAGCUCCUGGAGAUUGAUUUGCGGGCAUGAAGGCUGGCUCCUGCCACCUGGCUUCUUUGUUACGACUUGGACUGAUUUGUUCCUUGAGUUUCGACAGGACAGAGAGAAUGGAGGAUGUGGUUGGAGAGGCGUCUGUGGCAUCGUGCUGUCUGAGCUGGAAUUCAGCUCUCUCUCCCACAUCUUAGCUGUGUGAUUUUGAGGCAGUCCUUUGCGUCUCUGUACCUCAGACGUUGCAUUUAUGAAUAGAAAUAGUGGUAUCUAACUUAGGAUGUUGAGACUUUACAAGCUCUCGUGUAUUUAGAAUUUUCCUGAUGGAUAUAAAUUUUAUUUAACUGCUAAUAAUUAAUUAAAAAUUAAAUAUCUGACCUCUAAUAGGUUAAUUGAAGUAAUUAAGUCUCCUGGCGGUGGAGCAAGAUCACGGAGGACCACGGCCUAAGGGAGGAAUUUUUCUCUGCUUGCUGCCUUCUUAGCUCAGGUGAAAUGUUCUGAGCAUUCAUCAUUACUUUUCCAGCUAGAAGGAUUCUAAUUCUGUAAUAGCGUUUGCUGAGCUCUCCCUCCAAGUAAAUUUAAAUUGUGAUGUCAUUAUACUCUAUUCUCAAACAGAGGAGUGGAACAGAAGUUUUGCCUACAAUCAAUUUUCCAGGACUGACUGAGUAGCCAAGUGCUAAGUUUCUCCGCAACAGGACUAGGAUCCAGAAGUCCGUGUUAUUUGAAACAAUAGAGAUGUGCCUACAAUGAAAAUGUGAAUAAGAUCUCGUCUCAUUUGUUGUAGCUUAAUUUGACCAUGAAAACAUCAAUACUGGAUUCUCAGAGAAGAAAACAUUUCAGGGCCUGUAUGUUAGACCACGGUGUGAAAAUUCACAUUGUUUUAACAGUGCACUUCGACUUCCCAGCAUAAAAGAAAGCUGCUUCUGGAAACUCAAAGAUGGAGAGCCCUGCGAUGUCUUUCCUACAACUCAGGCAGGACAGAAGGAGCCAGCAGCCACUUGCCAGGAGCUAUGACUCAUCCUUGUGUUGCUUUUCCAUCCUUCUCUGCUCCAUUCUCCUCGUCCCUCCUCCUCUCUGGAUCACACCCCACGGUAAAGUGUUCGCGCUCCAGCCUUUGUCCUGGGAUCCGCUGUCUGGGAGACCCAGGCGAAGUCAUUUCGGCAUUAUUUUUUAGCAAAUGGAGUGAUCGUGUUUACACGACUUCAUACACACAACUACCCCGUCCCACUGCGAGUGAUCCAUCCAGUUAUUUUGUGAGACGGUUCAUGGCAAAGCCUCUCUCCUUCCUCUGGAUGUGGCGGGGCUUAGGGUGGUGAAUCGUGGCUGCCGCUGCUUCGGCCACAGCGGGACCAGGGGGCAGUUUGCCAUUGGCAUCUGGCAACUGGUCAGCAGCCUUGGCCCUGUGCUUUCAUCUGCUAACUUUAACCUGGCUCUGUUUAAUUUUUCCAAUCUGUAUUUUUAACUUCCUCCUAAGUUUCUCAUUUGCUCAUUUUAUCCUGCUCUAUUUAUGGAUUUGAAGAGUAUAAAUAAGCAAAGAUUAGUGUGAGUAGGUCUUUAAAAAAAAAAAUCAUAUGGCCCCCAUGUCCCAGAGUCACGUAUCAUGCUCUUACCAUGUGACAAAGCUUUGAAAAUGAAAAGAAAAUCAUUUUUUUUAAAGUAACAGUGGGAAAACUUUAUUGUCUUCAUUUGGAGACCUAAUUUAUUGAACUCAUUUAAUCACAAAUAAGCCUCUGGAUUCGUAUCUGCCCCCUGCUAGGGACCAGCCAUAUUGGUACAGUUUUUAUGGGUGCCGUGCUCAGGGGCAUGCCCGACAUCACAGCCAAAGGAAGAGACCAAGUUUUGCGUGCUCCGCCCCCCCGCUCCCGCCAUGGAGACGGAAGUGUGAAACCUGAGGGGUGCAUUUGAGUUCCGAAAGCGGCAUGUUCCGCACAUGGGAAAACUGCUUCAACCAGAAUACCAUUCAAAGGUUAACAGGUCUGAGAAAGGACCAGAAAAAGGAAAGGUUCUUCAUCAGGUCUGGGUUGUGGUACUACCACUCGGGCCAAAGAAGCCAAAUGGGCUUCUGGUAGUAGAGGGAUCAGUGCUGGGAACAGAGGCCAUGUGGAGUUCUUGGCAAGCCCCAAUGGAAAAAUCACAGUGCAGACCUCCAGGAUUCUGGAGCCUGGCUGUGCCAUUGGCAGCAGAGAACUCUACAACUUUCUAACAAUGACUCUUACGUGCUAUGGGGAACCAGUAGAGAGAGAGUGCUCCUAACCAUGGACACCACCUAACCAUGUGGCCAAAGCAGCCCAUCGCAACUGGGUUCUCUCAGAACCACCACAUCAUGUCAUGGGGUAGGCCAAGGAACGAUUCCCUGUAAGACUGGAUUGGUGCUUCUGGAAUUAAGCACAAGAAGGACUAGGGGACACGGCCAAGCAGCACAGGGGCUCCAUGUCACCCACCGUUACUGGGCCAGCACCUCCCCGUCAGCUCACACCUAUGACCAUAUGGAGGAUCCUUUAUGAUUGAAGUCGGUUGAAGAGGAAGGGUCUCAGGCUUGCUGGUGGACCAGCUCUGUAUGGUGCAAGCUGAAAACAGUGACUGCACCACGGCCCCAUUCAAGGGUGGCCUUGAACAACAGUGGUGAGGGAAAGGUUCGGGUGGUAUCCCCGGUCAUCUACUUUGUGUUGAAAAAGAAGCAGCCUGAGACUUGUGGGCUGUAGCAAAUGGCUUGACCGAAUGGGCAGGGGCCUAGAAGGAGAAAAUGGGCAAAUUAGCAACCAGGAGGUCUGGGGUAGACAUUGCAUGGACCUGUAAGAGGGCGUACUGUGGGAUCUUUGUAUCGCGUUCACAAGAGGGAGGCACUAAGCACGCAGAGAGACGAAAUGACGGACCAGUUAACGGCACCCAGCCUCUGUCAUCAGCCACUUCUAGUAUCGGCACAACUACACAUGAAUAGAAGAGCCACGGAGGCAGGAGUAGAGGCUACGCGUGGGCCCACUAGCCUGGACUUCCACUUACCCAAGGUUUUCUAGCUCAUGCUGCUGCCAGAUGGCUAGUAUUCCAGUAGCAGAGAGCGAUCCUGAGUUCCCGAUACAGCACCACCCCUUAAGGAGACCAACCUGACACUCUGGCGGGCUGCCUACACUGGACAUCUUCCAACAUGGAAGAAACAGCAAUUCAUUUGAACAUGAAUGGACACAUAUUCUGGAUAUGGAUUUUAUAUUUCCUGCUCUUAGGCCUCAGGUAGCACCACUAUCCAAGGCUUAAACGGUGUUAUGUCCACCGUCAUGGAAUCCAAUAUAACAUCACCUCAGACCAAAGAACACAUUUUUUCAGCAAAGGAGUUGCUGGCAUGAGCGCAUGACUCCACUGUUCUGUCUCACACUAUACAGCUCGAAGCUGCCAGCCAGAGCAGAGCGUAUACAGACCUGUUGAAAGCUGGCCUGAUGUGCCGGCUCAAAGACGAUCCUUCUUUGGGUGGAGCGCCAUUCUUCGGGAUGGAGGAGACCUUAAAUCAAAGACCUUUAAAUGCCACUGUGCUCACAAUGGGUAGAAUGCAGGAGUCCAGGAACCAAGGAGUAGAAGCAGAAGGGUCCUACUGACCCUCACUCCCAGCGACCUACUUGAAGAACUUGGACUUUUUAUCCUCACAAAAUUGAGCUCUGUGAAUUCCGAGGUUCUGGUUCCUAAAGGGGAGGAUACUUCUGACAGGAGACACAGUGAUUGCCUCUUUGAACUAUUAGUGUGGCCAAUUCAUGGGCAAUUCUAGCUCCUUGCACCAAGAAGCCAACAGGCAAGAAGAAAAGUCACUGUCUUAGAAGGGAUCAUUGAACCUGGUCAUCAGGAACAGUUCCCACUAGGAACAGAAGCUCAUUGGUGUCUUGAGGAGCUUUCCCCAGAACCUCUAAGAAGAGAAGAAUCCAAGUGCUGUAAGGGGUGGACUGUCAUGGAUGCUUCGAUACACUGUCCAGAUUCCUACUCAGGAAGAUUCCUAUUCAGGAAGAUUCCUAUUCAGGAAUGAAGGUCUUGUUUGCCAGCUGCUGGGAGUUCUGUGAGAAGAUGGCCCUUCACUCUUAGCCUGGGGGGUUUGCCUCCUGUAAGGAAGACUGCCUGGUCAUCUGAAGAUCACACCACCUCCCAGGGACAACCUGCAUUAAAUGCCCCUCUUCCCCUAAUUUGGGACAGCUCUAGAAGGCUACUUCCGGUCCAGAGCUCCAUGUGGGUUGGCUGAUGCUUUCACUGAGUCUGCACUAUGUCUCACCUUCUCCCUCUGUUAAUCCUCCCCCUUCCCAGUUGAUCCCAAGAGCACUCCUUAAUAAACAGCUUCCUGGGAACAUGACCCAUAGCAGCAGUAAAACUUGGGUUAUUACCAGAUGAAAUAGUUUGUGUUCGAAGCCUGGGGAGCCCUGUGAAUAAAGAAACUUCAGUUAUACAAAGUAGUCGGUUUUAUUAAUACCAAACCAUAAUUAUGAGUCUCUUGCUAGUUGCCAGUUGAUUUUGAUCAAACGUACAUAUAUGUAGAAAAGUGAACUUUUUGUGAGAAUUCCUAAGUACAUUCAAUCUGGGCAUAUCUCACUUCAGAUGCCAGAUUUCCCACUCUGAUUUCAGUUCGCUGUUUGGAUUUUAGCCAUUUUGUACGAGAGAAUGCAUUUCCCCAGAGCUAAGUAGUUGCAGACAUUCC